RNAcentral lists this ribosomal RNA (86 nucleotides) under Streptococcus agalactiae MRI Z1-035. RNAcentral describes it as "partial 16S ribosomal RNA". It matches the Rfam family "Bacterial small subunit ribosomal RNA", at positions 1 to 82 of the family's 1533-position model. The record is from RNAcentral. Lineage: Bacteria; Bacillati; Bacillota; Bacilli; Lactobacillales; Streptococcaceae.
CUUUUAAUGAGAGUUUGAUCCUGGCUCAGGACGAACGCUGGCGGCGUGCCUAAUACAUGCAAGUAGAACGCUGAGGUUUGGUGUUU